This 253-nucleotide ribosomal RNA is filed under the name uncultured bacterium. Its description in RNAcentral is "partial 16S ribosomal RNA". It matches the Rfam family "Bacterial small subunit ribosomal RNA", at positions 524 to 776 of the family's 1533-position model. The record is from RNAcentral.
UACAGAGGGUGCAAGCGUUGUUCGGAAUUAUUGGGCGUAAAGGGUGCGUAGGCGGUGCGGUAAGUCUCUUGUGAAAUCUCCGGGCUCAACUCGGAGCCUGCAAGGGAAACCGCCGUGCUUGAGUAUGGGAGAGGUGAGUGGAAUUCCACGUGUAGCGGUGAAAUGCGUAGAGAUGUGGAGGAACACCAAUGGCGAAGGCAGCCUUCUGGGCCAACACUGACGCUCAUGCACGAAAGCGUGGGGAGCAAACAGG